UACGGGGGGGGUAAGCGUUGUUCGGAUUUACUGGGCGUAAAGGGCGCGUAGGCGGUAGCACAAGUCAGUUGUGAAAUCUCCGGGCUUAACUCGGAAAGGUCAACUGAUACUGUGCGACUAGAGUGCAGAAGGGGCAACUGGAAUUCUCGGUGUAGCGGUGAAAUGCGUAGAUAUCGAGAGGAACACCUGCGGCGAAGGCGGGUUGCUGGGCUGACACUGACGCUGAUGCGCGAAAGCCAGGGGAGCGAACGGG
This 253-nucleotide ribosomal RNA is filed under the name uncultured bacterium. RNAcentral's name for it is "partial 16S ribosomal RNA". It matches the Rfam family "Bacterial small subunit ribosomal RNA", at positions 524 to 776 of the family's 1533-position model. The record is from RNAcentral.